Molecule: non-coding RNA, 1307 nt
Organism: Solanum lycopersicum (tomato)
Lineage: Eukaryota; Viridiplantae; Streptophyta; Magnoliopsida; Solanales; Solanaceae
Source: RefSeq, a predicted model, not a curated record
AAUAAUCAACUUCUGAACUUUUAGUGUGGAGAGGACCUGAAAAGAUGAGACCACAAAUUUAACUGUUGGUCUGCAGUCCAAUAUUGACGACCAAAAUACGAAGAACAUAAUCAACAUGCAACGAAAGCAGAUGCAUGGGAUAGCUGGAAAAGAUGUUGAAGCAAGAUCAAGGACAUAAAAUGGGCUAGAUUGCAUACUGUGGUUGAUUGACUUCUGUCACAUGGCUCCUUAAUGGUUGCAUUUAUGCACGAGAUUUAGGGGCAUGUGCACUCAACAAUUUCAGAUAAUCAAGCAGCAGAUGGAGCUCAAAAGGGAAUAACUGUUCCUAGAAACAAGGAACAGAUGCAAAUAAAGUACUAAAGUACACUGAUCUGCUCACAAAGAGCUACAAGACAGCCAUAAACAUUUUCGCUAAUAAGUAAAGGAACUUUUUCAAUUACAGGAGUGUCCUGGCCAACUUGUACGCAGCUUGUCUGAUCCACCAAGUACCUGUUGCCUCCCACAAGCAUAGGUACCGAUAAUAACUCAAACCAUCAAGACUUAGAAGGGAAGAAAUCACCUAGUGCUUUUAGCCUGAGACCUCAUGGUUCUCCGCCUGCUUCAUUGACCACUAUGCUAUACACUUGGGUGCUUAAGAAUUUCAUCAUAACUUAAGUUCUUACAAGUGUCUUUUUCUUUUUGAACUUGGAGCAGAGUCAUCGUCUUCUCUUUUCUUUUAGCAACUCAACAGGAUUGUACUUUUUCCUUCCAUUUUUAACCAGUUUGUUUGGUUCAGUUAUUGUAAAUAUCACAUGGAUGUGAUAAAAGUGAAACCAAUCAUUGGAACUACAUAUCUUGUAGAUCAGUUAUAUAGCUUUGCAAGAUGAUCUGAAAAGACAUUGCUUCCUCCAUUUCUGUAACCUGGUUCUUUCUAUAUUUCUAUUUUAUCAUUGGACUAUGGUGGUUUCUCAAAUGGAAAUGUUAGUAUCAAUCUCUAUCAUUUCGGCCUUUCCCCACAACCAAGCUCUGUUCUUUAUUGUUUGUCUUCCAUAUCCUCAGUAGUUUUAAAAGUCUAAGGAAUUUCCUAGGACAAAGGACACUUUAACAUUCUUGCACAAAGGAAAACAAGAAAUUCAUACAUUUAAAAUGUGAGGAAACUACCCUAUAACCAAGUAUAGACAAAAAGAAAAGAUGACAUAAAGUUCAUACUUACCACCACAAAAAAAAAAACAAUGCAGGAAGGCACAGUACUAAUUAAGAGGGGAAACACAAAAAAAAACAUAUUCUACAUACUUGUACACCCAGACAGCUUUGAUGAAAAGUCGAAG